RNAcentral lists this long non-coding RNA (8465 nucleotides) under Phaseolus vulgaris (common bean). RNAcentral's name for it is "long non-coding RNA (PVUL_LNC000513)". Lineage: Eukaryota; Viridiplantae; Streptophyta; Magnoliopsida; Fabales; Fabaceae. The record is from RNAcentral.
UGAGUGCGUGGCUCCACCUGGACAUGCCAUGCUCCAGUUCUUGUUCUGAGAAUGCUUGCUCUGCAGUUGCUUUGAAGGCUUUACCAAAAUCACCCAUCUGAAGUCGUACAUCAGAUGGCUGAAUUUCGUAAUACACGGGCAGAACAUGUCUGCAAUAAGUUUGGUGCCAUUUGAUGAUUUGUUGAAGCUGAUGAAGACACCACUCAGAUUGAGAGUAGGCUGUGGUGAAAACAACAAUGGCUACACGAGAGUGAUUGAGAAUAGGUUGUUGGAAGUGAAUUGGGUUGAGUGCAUUGGGGUGGUGAAGGAAAGUGGUGAAGCCAACAGCAGAGAGGGCAGAAUCGAGAUGAGAAACAAAUUUCCUUUGGAUGUCUUCUCCAUUAAAGUUUAUGAGCACAUCGUACUUCCUUGGGAGUUUGGAUGAUGAAGAAGCGAAUUCCAUGGAAGGAAUUGAUGAAGUCAUCAACUGAUAGAAGAAGAGGAUCAAUGCAACACAGUGAGUCAAAGAAAUGAUAUGAACAGACACAAAACCAUUCAAAGUAUUUUUUAAUAGUGGAGGAAGCGCGUUAACACCAUCAAUGUACCAUCAAUGAAACUUUUUUUACUUUAGCCAGUGAAGAAAUUAGACCAACGCCCACUCUGAAUCACAAACAAAAUAUAUUAGACUAAUAACUACGAAAAAGCUUAUAACAUCAUCAUCUAUAGAAAAAUAUAGAAAAGAUUUAAGGGUAAAAUAGUAAAAUUACAUAGGAGCUAAAGGGUAAAAGCAAUAUGUUCAUUAGAAAAAACUUUAAUAAAGAUUUGAGCCUCUAUUGUGUGUUUCAAAAAGAAGAAGAGAGGAAACUUGAUGGCUCCCUAGAGUGUAAGAGUUGCAGCGAUCGGAGAAGAAGUAGAAGGAAUAGCAAGUAACAAGAUAAAAAGAAACUCUGUUUUUACUUUUGUUAUUGUAUAUCACACUUAUAAUAAAGAGAUGUUUCCCUUUUUAUAGGCUUUUACAAAAACUAAAAUAAUAAACUUAUAUGAGUGGAUAUGUGUAUUACUUUCUCAAUAUCCUCCCCUCAAGCUGGAUGAUGUAUAUUCAUCAUAUCAAGGUUGUUCACAAAAUUUUGGAAGGGAAUCCAUUGUAGGGUUUUUGUAAACAUGUCUACUAGUUGAUCAGAAGAUUGAAUAUGUAGGAGAUGCAGGAAUUUGUCUUGUAUUUUCUCACGAAUCACAUGGCAUUCAAUGUCAAUGUGUUUCGUUCUUUCAUGAAAGUUAGGAUUAUGAGCUAUGUGGGGAGUCGAUUGAUUAUCACAAUAGAGAGUAACAGGAUCAGGUGUUUGUACAAAGUAUAUAGUUGAUAUCCAUUGUAGUUCACGAGCAAAAGCCGCGAGUGCUCUGUAUUUUGCUUCAAAAGAAGACCUAGAAAUAGUGUGUUGUUUAUUUGUUUUCCAGAAAUUAAGAGUAGUCUAGGAAAAUGCAAUACUCAGUGGUAGAAUGUCUUGUGUUAGAACAAGAUGCCCAAUCUGAGUCACUAAAGGCCUUAAUGUGAACUUCAGAUUCUCGUUAAAAAAUAACUCAUGCGUAGGAUUAGCUUUGAUGUAGCGUAGAAUAUCUUGCACAUCUUGUUGAUAAUAAACUGUAGGUUCUUGAACAAAUUGGCUAAGGAGUUGGAUAACAAAGGUUAUAUCAGGUUUAGUGUUGGUGAGAUAUAGGAGUUUUCCAAUUAGUAUUCUAUAAGGAUUGGGAUUUUGAAGUUUAUAUAUAGUUUCAAAAAAAACUUUAGUGUUAGACAUAAGAGGAGUAAAACAAGGUUUACUUCCUAGCAUUCCAGUUUCUUCCAAAAUGUCAACGGCGUAUUUCCUUUGACAUAAAUGAAUUCUUUUCUUAGAUCUUUCGACUUCAACACCCAAGAAGUAUUUUAGUUCACCAAGAUCUUUUAUCUUAAAAGAAUCAUUUAGGAAGUAUUUAAUUCUUUCAAUUUCUUGUAAUGAAUCUCUUGCAAGGAUAAUAUCAUUUACAUAAACAAGUGAAACAAUGAGAGAUUUUUUAGUUUUUAAAAAAUAGAAUAAUCAGACAUAGAUUGAGAAAAACCAAAAGAAAUAAGGGAAGAAGAUAGCUUAGCAAACCACUGUUUGUUGGCCUAUUUUAAACCACAAAGAGACUUUGUAAGUAUGCAAAAGUGAUAUUUUCAUUGACCAGAAAAUCUAGUAAAAGACACUAGUACAAAUUGUUAAUAUGACACUAUAUAAAGUUGAUUAUAAUAACACCAUCGUUAAAAAAUGUGUGGUGGCAAUGUGAUAAUUAUUUUGUAGUUUUAUAACGACAAUUCCCUAGUGAAUCGUCGCUAUAUUUGCAAAAUGUGAAAAAUAACGACGGUUUCCUAUGCGAACCGUCAUUAUAUAUGCAUCGAAGUCAAAAAAUUACGACGAUCUACGUGUGAACUAUCGUUAUUUUGGUAUUUAUUUUUCCUACACUCACAACUUAACAUAUUUAUUCACUCUUCAUUGUCCCGCUACCUACUUCGUUCUUUGUCUUCACUAUUUUCUUCACUGCCAUCUACUUCCAGCCAAAGGUCCCCUGCCCACGCUGCUUACGUCCUUCUCGUGCCACCGCCACCACCGCUUUCAUCUUGGUCGCACCAUCAUCGUUUCGUCUUCUCCCAUUUCCCGCUCCUCUCUACCGCCAUUAUUGGCACAAGUCCUUCUUGUGACUACCAGCACCGCUUACGAACCUCUCCUCCAUGGGUCAAACCCCCGCGUACACAUCUCUCCUUUGCACGCUGCCAACACCUCCACCACACACACACGCUGCCAUGACUAGUGCACGGUGCCUCCCUAAACCUAAAUUUUUUAAUUAAUUUUAUAAUAAAUAUUUGGAUGUACAUGUUGAUUAGUUAGUAUUAGGGUUUUUGGGAACUUCAUUUACUUGAUAUUUGAGGGAGGAGUCCUAACAUUGAAGAAAAGAGUGAUAAAUUUGCAAUUGGCAAAAAUUAGCAUGAAAAAACUUUAAACGUUCAUAACUUUUGAUAGAGAAGACGAAUGGAGUUGCGUAGACCCUAAACCAUAAACUCUAAACCCAAAUCCCAAAUCAUAAACCCUAAACCCUAAACCUAUAAAAUGUACAAUUCUAAAAGAAAGUCACAUCAGGUUUGCACCCACUUAUAUACUAUGAAAUGUCCUAAUCUUUAGUCAAUGUGGGAUCUCCAACACACCCGUUCACGUCGAGGCUACCAACUCGUGUGUAGGACUAUAUAUUAUGGGUGGUCUGAUAACGGCUAAAUAACGGGUGGCUUGAUAAGCCCAACAAACAAUCGCUAGGAUAGACUCGAAAUGACUUUAAUACCAUAUUGAAAAAGAUAGAAAAGAUUUAAGGGUAAAGUAGUAAAAUGAAAAAGGUGCAAAAGGGUAAAAGCAUAUGUGCAUUAGAAAAAACUUAAACAAAGAUUUGAGCCUCCACUUUGUGUGUGUCCUGUAUUUUCUCACGAAUCACAUGACAUUCAAUGUCAUUGUGUUUCAUUCUUCCAUGAAAGCUGGGAUUAUGAGCUAUGUGGGGAGCCAAUUGAUUACAAUAGAGAGUAGCUGGAUCAGGUGUUUUUACAAAGUAUAUAGUUGAUCCAUUGUAGUUCACAAGAAGUAGCCGCGAGUGCUCUGUAUUCUGCUUUAGAAGAAGACCGAGAAAUAGUAUGUUGUUUCUUUGUUUUCCAGGAAAUAAGGGAAUAGCCCAGGAAAAUGCAAUAGUCAGUAGUAGAAUGUCUUGUGUUAGAACAAGAUGUCCAAUCUAAAUCACUAAAAGGCUUAAUGUGAACUUCAGAUUCAAUGUUAAAAAAUAAUUCAUGUGUAGGAUUAGCUUUGACGUAGAAUAUUACCAAAAUUAAAUCAGAAAGCUUAAGUUUGGUGAUUGAGUGAGUGACGUACAUCAGAUGGCUCAAUUUCGUAAUAAACGGGCAGAUGAUGUUGGCUAUAAGUUUGGUGCCAUUUGAUGAUUUGGUGAAGCUGAAGAAGACACCAAGCAGAUUGAGAAUAGGAGUUGGUGAAAACAACAAUUGCUACACGACAAAGAUUGAGAAUAGGUUGUUGGAUGUGAAUUGGGUUGAGUGCAUUAGGGUGGUGAGGCCAACAGCAGAGAGGGCAGAAUCGAGAUGAGACACAAAUUUCCUUUGGAUUUCUUCUCCAUUAAAGUUUAUGACCACAUCGUACAUCAAAGUAACUGCAGAGAGAGAGCAUUUAUAUUUGAAUAGAUUCGUAAACAUUUGUCUUCUAUAACAUUUUUAAUUUUAUUUUAUACGGAUUCCACAGUACCACAUUACUUUUAAUAUUUUGUAUAAAAAAUUUGGAAGAGUUUUAUAAGUCACACUUUCAUUAUUUUUUUUUGACAAAAAAUAUAUAUAUUCAAAAUAGAAAAAUAAUAAUUUUUAUUUUUGUAACUUAGGAUAUUAUCUUUUUAUGCCGCAUCGAUAUAUUUGAGUGAGUCUUAUAAGAUUUAAAUCUUAAUUAUAUAAUUUGAUAUAUGAGCUUUGGAAUGAAGAUACCUUAAAGUUAAAUAAGUAAUUAAAAUUUUAGCAAUAUAGGAUAUGGUUUUUGAAAAUGAUAUUUGGAUAAAGUUGGCCAGAUUAAAGAAAUUAUUUUGAAGAUUUUGAUAAUAUAUAAAUAGAUUGAAAUGAGUACAGUCUUUAAAGUAUUUCAAUAAUAAAAAGAUUGAAAGAUAAGUUGUAAAGUACGAUCGAGUAGUUGAUCAUUAUCAAUAAUCAAAACUAUCUGAAAUCCUACUUUAUAACUCUUUGUAUCAUAAAUUAUCAUGACUUGUCAAACCGAUGCAUUGCAUUUGUAUUGAGGUUCUUAUUUGACUCUAACAAAUAAGAUAAACAGCUGAAGUGAAGAACAAUUUGAGGAGUGAGAAACAAGGCUAAAAUAAACAUGAAUUUCUUAACAAUAAGCUAUACUGGAAAAGACGAAAAAAGAUGAAGUGGAAGCAAGGAAACAAUGAUUAAUUCCAUAACUGGAUCCUGCUGUUCUCAAAAGAAGAUAAAUGACUUACCUGAAGUCACAUAACAUUACAAUUUUCUUUAUGAAUCUAAGGAGACAAUUUUCCUUUGGCUUUGAUUCACCACAUAUGGGAUAGACAACUGUGUUCUCGACAACCAAUCCAUGACCAAAACUCAAAAAAAUCUCCACCUUGUCUCCAUAUCCUAAAUUUGACGAUAUACCCUGCCAAUCUAUAUAAUUAAAUGAAAUUACUGUGCCAUGGUUGUGUAUAUGCAAUGUGCACUUUGUGUAGUUAACAAUUAAGACAUUUCUAAGACAUUCAGUUGCGUCUAUUUCAGGGGUUGAUGAAUAAACAACACACAAAACCAUUCCCUUCAAGUCCCGAUCUAAAGGCACAGUGAAAGAAACAGAAUGUUCCUCACCCAUAUGGCCCAACCAAUAAGGAUCAUUGUCAACUGGGAGACAAACAUCACAUGACUCACUGCUUACUGUUACCUGUACCAUAUGAUAAAAAGCUUAGACAUUUUUAUAAUUUUUGCUAUUCAAAUUAUCUUCUGCAACCAUUAUUUGUCAUAAAAAAUUACAAAAAUAUAAUACAAUUUGUUGUGUUAUAUCAGCAUCAUGUCGUCAGGGAUUUAGAAUGCAUAUCUGUGUUCAUCUCUUUCAGUUUAUAUUUCUACAAUCGUUAGGAAUAAAUCAUGAAACUAAUAAAGCAAGAAAGUCGAAAUCAAUUUCCCUGUACUUAGAUAUUCAUUAGGAUUAUUUUGUGUUCUCUUAAUUGCUAAAGUCAGGGUGAAGGUGAUAAACCAAAGGGAAAGCUAGAGAAGAACCUUAGAGACGUUAUGGCUGACAGCAUUGAAGAAUUCAUGGUAUGCUCCAACACCAAUCAAAGAAGACCUGAAGUGCUGCUUUGAAAUUCCUGAUUCUGUAUUAGUUGCAAAAUAUUCUACCAAAAUAUUUUUCAAUUGCUUAGACAGUUGAAACUCGGUGUCACAUUGCACCAAAACACUUCGAAGAUUUGCCAGGCUGCUAAGCAAUGGCGUCAUAUCAUCCCAACUAUUAUCCUCCAUAUCCAUGCAAAACGAAUUAAUAUAAGAUAUGGAAAUCGUUGUUGGGGACAUCCAAGACCGAAUGAUAGAAGGAAAAAGAUUACGUGGCAAUCUCUCAAAUCCACGUAGGGAUAUAUAUCCAAUGCUUUUUUAUCUCACAAUUGAAAAGGGAACUUGUUUAACAGCAGUGUUUUCAGCAAUUAGAGUUAUCAAGGAUUUCAUUUGCACUGUAUCUUUUUCCAAUAGGUCAAUCAUAGAACACCCAGAGAGAAUGAGUGUUUUUAAAGAUUUCAACAUAUAUACCUCUGCGGGGAGAUUGCUCAAACUUGUACAGUCCUUCAAAUUUAGCAGUGUAAGAUUGGACAGACAUCCAAUAGAUUGGUGUACUUCUUGCAAUCCUGGACAAUCUUUGAGAAUGAGCUGUUCAAGACUUGAUAAUCCGGAAAAGUUAGGGGUUUCUAUUAAAUACUUGGAGUGACUAAGAUUAAGGACUUUGAGCCACCUCAAAACCUACACCGGGACAGUUUUUUUUACAAGUAUCAGAGAAGAAAAUCAAAAUGAAACAGCAGUAGGUUACUGUUUUUGUUUUAGUUAGCUUUGUGUUUUAAUAAAAAAUGGCACUUAAUAAAAAAACCUGAGGUUCUUUCAAGAGGAGUCGAAGAUCAUUGUGUUUUAUGUCAAUCGCUAUUGCAUCAUGCAGAUGCAAGCCGUCACGUGGGUAUUCUGAAUAAGACCGUUGCAAACUGAUCCAUCUCAGUUUCCUAGAAAUGUACUCAGAAUUUCCAUCGAGUUUCAGCAGUCUUGAUGGUUCUCUUCUGGCUGAACGCAGUUUCACAGGCAAUUCCCAACGGUCCUGUGAUAAAAAGAGCAAAGAAUAACAAAUGUACUGAAAAUGAGAAAGCAAACACUUCCAAGAGAAGUUUUAAAAGGCAUAUAUAAAGAAUGUUCUUACUGAGUUAUCUGUCAAUACAUAUUCUGCAUCAUCAAACUGCAGUCUCCUCCUCUCCAUCCAAAACUCUUCUUCUGAAAUUUCACUAAUAAUUUCUCUUCCCAUUUCUUGUAGCAAAGGAUGCAUUCCAAGUUUGUCGUUCUUUUUAAUUUUUAUGAGGCUACUUUCUAUCAGAACUCUUAUUCCAGUAUCAGCAUCUACUCCACAGCCAUUUAGAAUCUUGGUAACAUAGGAUCUGCCCUUACCAACGAAGAAACAACAUAUAUCAAGGAAUAAAUCUUUUUCCAUUUCAUUGCGUAAACCAUCGAAGCUUAUUUUCAAUUUCCGUUGAAUGUCGUGCAGGGGAAUUUUCUCUAAUUUUAACAAAACACUAUUCCAUUCUUCUUUUGUCCUUUCAUAUAAACAAUUUCCAAUGACUUCAAGAGCUAGAGGUAGUCCUCCACAAUGACUAACUACACUUUUUGCAAGGUAAUUGUAUUCUUCUUUUGGUUUUGCUUCUCCAAAUGCAUGCCAACUAAGAAGCUCGAGAGACUCGUCUUCGUCCAUUAGCUUUAACCGAAAAACAGAAUCAACUUGAAGAAUCCUCGGUAGGUCUACAUCUCUUGUUGUAAUGAUUAUUACAGUUCCUCCACUGAACCAUUCAACGCAUUUCCAUACUAGUGAUGCAUCAAACUCAGGCACAUCGUCAAGUACAAUAAGCACCCUUUUCCCAGAAAGUCUUUCCCGAAUCAUUCUUCGCUCCAUCUCAUUGCUAGGUAUUUCAACCUUUGUUUUUAGGACAUCUAAAAGAAGUUGUUCAUCUAAACGAAUAUUCGAUCUUGUUUCACUAAGAUGUGCAAUAUCUUCAAUGAAACUUUUCUCCGUGAAUGUAGCACUAAGUUGAUUGUAGAUUGCUUUGGCAAGGGUGGUUUUACCAGAUCCCCCCGCUCCAGUUAUCCCUAUCGUAUAAACUUCGGUGUUAUUUUGGAUAGUUCCAAUCAGAUAUUGCACGUGAGACUGUAAUCCAACUGGGAAUUGAGAUGGUUGAAUUUCGUAAUAAACGGGCAGAACAUGUCUGCAAUAAGUUUGGUGCCAUUUGAUGAUUUGUUGAAGCUGAUGAAGACACCAAGCAGAUUGAGAAUAGGCUGUGGUGAAAACAACAAUGGCUACACGAGAGUGAUUGAGAAUAGGUUGUUGGAAGUGAAGUGGGUUGUGUGCAUUGGGGUGGUGAAGGAAAGUGGUGAAGCCAACAGCAGAGAGGGCAGAAUCGAGAUGAGAAACAAAUUUCCUUUGGAUUUCUUCUCCAUUGAAGUUGAUGAGCACAUCGUACUUCCUUGGGAGUUUGGAUGAUGAAGAAGCGAAUUCCAUGGAAGAAAUUGAUGACGUCAUCAACUGAUAGAAGAAGAGGAUCAAUAAUGCAACACAGAACCUUUUUUACUUCAGCCAGUGAAGAAAUUAGCCAACGCCCACUUUGAAUCCCUAAAAUAUAUAUUAUACUAAUAAUUACGAAAGUUUGUCUAUUUU